AAGACACAAGCGUGAAGUUGGCAUUAGCUGCGCUGGCACAAGACGCUCUGCUUAGGGGCAGCGGAUGAACAGCACCCAAGGGAGCAUGGGGAGCUGGGCAGCCAGUGCUG
Molecule: long non-coding RNA, 110 nt
Organism: Gopherus evgoodei (Goodes thornscrub tortoise)
Lineage: Eukaryota; Metazoa; Chordata; Testudines; Testudinidae
Exons: 3
Source: RefSeq, a predicted model, not a curated record